UUGAACUAUAUCUUUCCUGUGCAACUCCAAAUUUUGAAAAACUAUUGUUGUCCCAAAGCAUGUAGCCAUUAUAACCUUAUAACAAACAUCUUAAAUUCUAAUUUACUCUCCCUUUUCAAUUAUCAAGCACCGGCAAUCAAAUACCUGGGAACUUGCUCGUUUCCCACAGCCCAACCGCAGCAUCGCCGGUGAUGAAAGCUUAUCCGGCGGUCACGCCAAUGUUUGCACUAGUGACUAGUGCAGGCCAUCCGACCACUUUUCCCUCACUAGUGCACGCCUUGGCGGUGACCACUGGAUGGUCUUCUUAUCUUUGAGGAGUAGCAAAUUCACGUUACUUCUAUGAACUACAUUUCUGGAUCAUAUUCAAUAUUUUUCUGGAAUUUGAAGAACAUACGUGCUAAAGAGCAGUUUUGAUAUCAUCCUAGAUGCAAGGCUGUGAAGCUCAUUAUAUAUGUUUUGUUGAUUACCUCAUCUUAUGUUGUAAAGGGCCUUCAAGCUUCUUUCAGAUACAUCUGGUCUCAAAGCUAAUAAUCAUAAAUCAGUCUUUUGUUGUACAGCUUUAGAAACUCUCUAGUUUAGUGUCACUCAAGUAUCUUAGUGUACCAAUCUGCUCCAAGACAAUUUCAGAUACUCAUUGUGAUGUUUUGAUUGGAAAAAUGAUGAGUAGAAUUAAAUUAUCGAGUUCGAGGAACUUAUCAUAUUCAAGAGAGAGUUUGGAAUACAAGAGGAUGCAAGGAAGAAACGAGAUAUCUUAACUACUUGUAAUAGACGGUGAAGAGAUUUUAAGACAAAAUUGGUGAGUCGAUGGAUCACAAAAGCGAGGAAGGGGCCUAACAAUUAAAGGCAACCGUAGGAGAUAUAUCCUUUUAUUACGAAAGAGAUGUGCAACCAAUUUGUCACAAAGUGUAGCUCUCAAUAGUUUAAGGCAUGUAAUAUGUACGACACAAUCAUAUGUAAUUAUUUUUUCAAUUUUUUUUGUGUGAAUACUGACUAGGUAUUUGUUUUCCUGUCAUGCUAAAAGUGAAAGAGGAAAAAGAUCUCAGACAUCCAACAACAUCCUCAUUUUUUGGAUCAUAACUCAUAUGCGGAGAUGAUUCCCUUUUAGAAAAGGGAAGGGUAUAUCCAUCCAUCCUCUACAUCAUCAUUUGUUGACUCCUAGCCGGAACAAACUUUACCAUGGCAUCUCGCGAGAUCGAAAAAAGAAAUAAGCAAGGAAAUCUUCUCUUUCCAAAUGACUGAACACAAAAGAUAAAAGAAUCCAUUGUCGGAUGAAUGAUGCUCUAUCACGUGCUCUACAGAGGAAAGACAGUCCUGGGCAUUUGUUAAUAGUUGGGUGUAGCAUUGGGAUUACAGAUAUUUAGGGAGAUUUUGAUCAGAGUAAUACUGCGAAGAAUGGUAGGGACAUAAAUGAUCUGGAAAUGCAGGAAUUCAAUGCUAUAGUGACCCAAAGAGUUAAAAAAGAGACGAUGAAAGAGAUUAACUCGAAGUUAGAUGCAUUAGUUCAAGAAAAUUUCAUGCCUCUUACGAAAUCCUGACACUCUACUUGAUCGUAGUAGCUCUCACUCGGGGGAAUGAUCCAUUUGCGAACUUACAGAUGUUAAAAGUCCAGUUUCAUGUCGUUUGGCAUUAGCGGGUGGCUCGCGACCGAUCAUUGUAGCCGAGGGCACCGUUCAUCCACCAAAUGUAGUCAUCAUCACAUCCUUGGUCAUAAAAGUGAGUAUUGAUAAUUUUUUUGGGAUUACACAAACGCUCCAGUUCCAUUACCUACUCCAUUCAUCACGAAACUUAGUCAAGCUCAUGGUGCAUUCAUACAAUGGCCGAAAGAGUUGGUAUUUUUAGUCUCAGAUAAUUAGGUAACUUAUAUUUAAUAUUCUAACUUAUAUAUUAAGAAAUCUUGAAAUAUAUACUAAGUAACAUUGAUUUAAAUACCAAUUAAUCUUGAUUUAUAUAUGAAUAAUCUAUAUAAUAUGAAUGAAAAGAAGUCGAAUUGAAUUAGGAACAUAUGUCUAAGGAAGGUGCGAUGAAAAAGAAGAAGAAGAAGAAGAAGAAACAGUUGGUAGUGAUCCUCGUACUGAUGAGUCUACGCAUAGGCACCUAGAUUCUUUUAUUGACUUGUCAUUGGAGGAUUUGAAUGAUCAUUGCAAGGAUAUGCACCGAUUAUUUUGUAAUUAACCCUGAUAUUAGCCUUUUAGUAUACAAGUUAUGAAGGGUACAAGUUAUAUUCGACUAUGAUAGUGAUCAGAUGAUUAUAAUCUCGCGACAAGAUGUUAUUCAACUUCUCACGAGAGCAUGGCUUGAUGUAUCCAUUUUGCAAUUGUUCAUGAUGUGAGAUUUCUCAAACUCUGAACUAAUCAAAAUUGAUAAUUAUUUUUAUUGUUUCUCCUAAGCAUAAGUUAUUGGAGUGUAUGGAAUUGCAAGAAUCGUCUAGGGACCAUGGAGAUGGUAAUAUUGGUUUCAUGUGUCCAAGUAUGAUUUCAGCGACCAUGAUACGCAAUUGUCCAGAUGUUGUUAUCAACUACAUGGUAAGCUCAAUGAAAGCGAAUUAAUAUUUAUGUUACAUCUUAUGUCCGUGUAUUCAGAAGUAUGUUAGUUAAACUAUCUUCACUUCGUUUAAUCUUUAUGAACUUAUUAUAUGUACAUCACAUUUUGCUUCAUGCCUUAGGGAACAAUGGAUUCUUCUUGUCAUUUGUCUAUCUAAUAAAGAGGUAUAUAAAUUUGAUUCGCUACGGAGAGAGAUCUUUAGCUAUCAAGAUGCUGCUAAGUAUGUAAGUUCAUAAUUUGUAAACAUGUUAAUUAUUUUAUACGCAUUUUAUGAUAUUUAAAUGAACUAUAAAUGUUCAUAGUAAUUAGUUGUUACAAAAUUUGUAUACUUAGUGCAUAUACAACUAUACAAGUUUCAAGCAUAUUCAGGGAUCCAAUAGUGGAACUAAAUUGUAUGUGUGUGUGUGUGUGUGUGUAUAUAUAUAUAUAUAAUCUGGUGAAGUGAGCUCAACAAUCGCAAGGAACUAAAUGCGGCUAUUUCAUGAUGAAGUGCAUGCUGGACAUCAUCCGCUUCGACUAUGAUUCAGAUAAUUUACAGGAUGUAUAUAUAUGUUGUAUAUUCGUUAUUUGUAAUUAAGUUUAUACUUAUAGAAUUUCUAAGUAAUUCAAUAUAUUUCUUGGAUUUUCCACCAAGUACCAACCCAUACUCCUUAGGUGAGAUCAUCCAACUCAAAGAACUUUGUGCCCAAGACUUUGUACAGGUCGUCGAAGAAACUUAGUUAGUAUAUGUGUUUGUAGGUUGAACAAUAUUUUGUUGAUUGAACAUUGGUUAGUUGCUUGAUUGCAAUAUUGAUUGCUUGAUUGAGAUGUAUUGGAUGAGGUUUUGGUUUUUUAUGAAAAUUUUCCACGAUUUCUUGGGUUGUCCAAAAUAUAAAAGAGACUCUUACUCAUAAUUAUCAAUAUAUGUUCGAUUAGUUUUGAUGUUUGCUGUUUAGCAUAUGAAAAAAAAUGCUGGUAAAAAAACCAAAGUCUAUCAUUUACGUUGAACAUUGGGCAAUAGGCAACGCGGAUGAGCUUUAUUUGCAACGCACGUUGCAUACGAGCGACACACAUGUUAUGAUGUGCAUGGCCAGUGAAUGGGCUGUGCAAACAGAUCCAUUGCACAGGGCCCCCAAGUCAAUAGGGCCCCUAAAUCAGUUUAUAAU
This is a long non-coding RNA of Beta vulgaris subsp. vulgaris (sugar beet), 3686 nucleotides long. RefSeq lists it as uncharacterized. The transcript is spliced from 4 exons. The record is from RefSeq and is a predicted model, not a curated record. NCBI's taxonomy places the organism in Eukaryota, Viridiplantae, Streptophyta, Magnoliopsida, Caryophyllales, Amaranthaceae.